This 311-nucleotide unclassified non-coding RNA is filed under the name Hevea brasiliensis (rubber tree). Lineage: Eukaryota; Viridiplantae; Streptophyta; Magnoliopsida; Malpighiales; Euphorbiaceae. The record is from RNAcentral.
UUUUUUAUCAUUUUGAAUACUAACUUCAUGUGUAGUGCAAAUUUUAUGUUAUCCUUUUAAACAAAAACCUGCUAUUCUUGGAUGUUUAUUAAGGAUGAAUGCAAAUUUUAUGUUAAAAAAGCCACAAAUACUGCAUGGAUUUGUCUAACUAAGGGCUUAAAAUUCAUAUCAAUCUGACACAGGGAAUUUAUUUUCCACUACUUAAGCAGUCAUUCAUAAUACAACAGGCUUCCUUAACUAGGGUAAUGAUGAAAAUCUGUCAGCGAAAUGCUAUUGCUUUGACUCUGUUUUGAUAUUGCAGCAUCUUUUUU